RNAcentral lists this ribosomal RNA (253 nucleotides) under uncultured prokaryote. RNAcentral's name for it is "partial 16S ribosomal RNA". It matches the Rfam family "Bacterial small subunit ribosomal RNA", at positions 524 to 776 of the family's 1533-position model. The record is from RNAcentral.
UACGAGGGGUGCAAACGUUAUUCGGAAUUACUGGGUGUAAAGGGUACGUAGACGGCAUUGUAAGUCAAUUGUUAAAUCUCUCAGCUUAACUGAGAAUCUGUGAUUGAAACUACAAAGCUAGAGAGUGGAAGAGAGAAGUGGAAUUCUCGGAGUAGCGGUAAAAUGCGUAGAUCUCGAGAGGAACACCGAUGGCGAAGGCAGCUUCUUGGUCCAUAUCUGACGUUGAGGUACGAAAGCGUGGGGAGCAAACAGG